GCCAUUUCUCUCCCAAACCCUUCUUCCCUCGCCCCAUCCCCAAAUCGCGCACCCAUAUCCCCAAAUCCCGAAAGUCUCUCUCUUCCUCUUUCCAACGUCUCUCGAUCUCCCUUCUCCACUCCGGCCUCUCUUGAUAUGGCUUCCAUUUCCAUUGCUUGUUGAAGACGCGGAUCUCUCGGUCGUUGCCCUCCUUCUUGCUGGAACACGCUAAACUCCGAGAAGGCCCGCAAGAGAAGAAGCACCAGCAACAGCCGCAGCAGCAGCUCCCCUUCUCCAAUAGCCGCAGCAGGUGCCUUUGUUUGGAGUCGCAAAGCAUUGGUUUCAGAGGGAGUACGGAAGAUUUCUAGAAGCCGUAGCCCGAGAAGGCCUGCAAGAGGAAGAAGCACCAGCAACAGCCGCAGCAGUAGCUUCCCAUCUCCAAGAGCCAAUUAGCACCUUGGUUCUUAGCAGGUAGGUAUGCCUCUCUCUCUCUCUCUCUCUCUCUCUCUCUCUCUCUCUCUCUCUCUCUCUCCAGGUUUCAUCAUGUCUAUUGGGUGCAAUCUGGGAAGCGAAAGGCUGGAACAUGCAGAAAGUAACUUCAGAAGCUAGAAGUUGGUGCUGAUAUCAAAGACACCGUAGGUUGGUGGGUUUUGGUGUCCAGAGAGUUGUGUUGGGUCUUCAGUACUCAAGUAUGGGCUGGCUAGUUUGGGCAUUUUACUUUAGAACAUGUAUGGUGCUAUUGACAUAGGUGGGUUAUGGAUAAAUUCCUACUUGGAUUUUUUUUAGUACCCCCGAAAGCAUUGAGGCAGUUGAAUUUGGUCAUGAUAUAAACAUGCACUAGAAACGUAUGGUUAUAAAUGCAUGGAUUGUUGAUAUAUUUACCUGUUGGUUA
Molecule: long non-coding RNA, 871 nt
Organism: Magnolia sinica
Lineage: Eukaryota; Viridiplantae; Streptophyta; Magnoliopsida; Magnoliales; Magnoliaceae
Exons: 4
Source: RefSeq, a predicted model, not a curated record